AACGAACGCUGGCGGCAGGCUUAACACAUGCAAGUCGAACGCGUGCAGCAAUACACGAGUGGCGCACGGGUGAGUAACGCGUGGAUAUCUGCCUUUUGGUUCGGAAUAACCCCGGGAAACUGGGGCUAAUACCGGAUGGUUCCUACGGGAUAAAGAUUUAUCGCCAAAAGAUGAGUCCGCGUACGAUUAGCUAGUUGGUGAGGUAAUGGCUCACCAAGGCGACGAUCGUUAGCUGGUCUGAGAGGACGAUCAGCCACACUGGGACUGAGACACGGCCCAGACUCCUACGGGAGGCAGCAGUGGGGAAUAUUGGACAAUGGGGGCAACCCUGAUCUAGCCAUGCCGCGUGAGUGAUGAAGGCCUUAGGGUUGUAAAGCUCUUUCAGCUGGGAAGAUAAUGACGGUACCAGCAGAAGAAGCCCCGGCUAACUCCGUGCCAGCAGCCGCAGUAACAC
Molecule: ribosomal RNA, 454 nt
Filed under: uncultured bacterium
Lineage: Bacteria
Description: bacterial SSU rRNA
Rfam family: Bacterial small subunit ribosomal RNA
Source: RNAcentral